RNAcentral lists this ribosomal RNA (1030 nucleotides) under uncultured bacterium. Its description in RNAcentral is "bacterial SSU rRNA". It matches the Rfam family "Bacterial small subunit ribosomal RNA", at positions 56 to 1091 of the family's 1533-position model. The record is from RNAcentral.
UGCAAGUCGAGCGGUAACAGAGAGUAGCUUGCUACUUUGCUGACGAGCGGCGGACGGGUGAGUAAUGCUUGGGAACAUGCCUUGAGGUGGGGGACAACAGUUGGAAACGACUGCUAAUACCGCAUAAUGUCUACGGACCAAAGGGGGCUUCGGCUCUCGCCUUUAGAUUGGCCCAAGUGGGAUUAGCUAGUUGGUGAGGUAAUGGCUCACCAAGGCGACGAUCCCUAGCUGGUUUGAGAGGAUGAUCAGCCACACUGGGACUGAGACACGGCCCAGACUCCUACGGGAGGCAGCAGUGGGGAAUAUUGCACAAUGGGCGCAAGCCUGAUGCAGCCAUGCCGCGUGUGUGAAGAAGGCCUUCGGGUUGUAAAGCACUUUCAGUCAGGAGGAAAGGUUAGUAGUUAAUACCUGCUAGCUGUGACGUUACUGACAGAAGAAGCACCGGCUAACUCCGUGCCAGCAGCCGCGGUAAUACGGAGGGUGCGAGCGUUAAUCGGAAUUACUGGGCGUAAAGCGUACGCAGGCGGUUUGUUAAGCGAGAUGUGAAAGCCCCGGGCUCAACCUGGGAACUGCAUUUCGAACUGGCAAACUAGAGUGUGAUAGAGGGUGGUAGAAUUUCAGGUGUAGCGGUGAAAUGCGUAGAGAUCUGAAGGAAUACCGAUGGCGAAGGCAGCCACCUGGGUCAACACUGACGCUCAUGUACGAAAGCGUGGGGGAGCAAACAGGAUUAGAUACCCUGGUAGUCCACGCCGUAAACGAUGUCUACUAGAAGCUCGGAACCUCGGUUCUGUUUUUCAAAGCUAACGCAUUAAGUAGACCGCCUGGGGAGUACGGCCGCAAGGUUAAAACUCAAAUGAAUUGACGGGGGCCCGCACAAGCGGUGAGCAUGUGUUUAUUCGAUGCAACGCGAAGAACCUUACCUACACUUGACAUACAGAGACUUACUAGAGAUGGUUUGUGCCUUCGGAGCUCUGAUACAGUGCUGCAUGCUGUCGUCAGCUCGUGUGUGAGAUGUUGGGUUAGUUCAGCA